UCAGUGCAUCAAAGAUGGUUAGGAGGUUGAAGAUAUGUCGUGUGAAAGGCGCGGGGAGGCAAGGACGGGACACGCGGGACGCUGGAGUGGAGGACGAACACCGCAGCAAGGUAUGUGCAGAGAACAACCACGGUCGCCAAGUCACGAAUCCUCUCUUGAAUGUCCACUUCUCCUUGGCUGCCUGGUCAUCAUCAUAUCACAAAUCAAAGUUUUCUUGUUGCGAAUUAGAGCAGAUAAAUUUGAUGGCUGUAACUUGCCAUAAUUGCAAGGUCUAAUUCUAUUAUGUGUUGAGUUUAUUGGCAAGAUUUGGUCCGUUUUGAUACAAUUUCAUUCUGGUUGCCAUCUACAAGUUACUGUUGUUGCAUCACAGUAAUUUAUUUGGAAGCAAUGAUACUUGAGAUUGAGACUUUCUGGGUAGGUUGUCACAUGUAUUUAACUUACGAUUUCAAAUUGAGAUACAACCAGCAAUCUGGAAUCAGUACUGUUGCUCAGACAACCUAGAGGGGUUAUAAAAUUUCUUUGCAAAGCUUGUAUAGAAGCUUAAGGAUAUGCCUGCUACUUCUUUUUAGGAAAAUAAAAUGCCUGCUACUUUGGGAUAUUGUGGUGUUACUAAAUGACCGCUUCAUAAAUCAUAAUAUGAGAUGGUGUUUGGUCAACCAAACAUGAAGAAUAUUGGAACAAAAAGACAAAGAAUAUUGGUCAACCAAAGGCAAAUUCACUUCAGCAAAAAUUCACUUGAUGUUGCAAUUUUUUUAUUUGUUAUUUAAGAUUAUUUUUAGAUGGAGAGCUGGGCCAGUUUGGAUGCCAAUGUUGGUUUUUAGAUCAGUCAAUGGUUCAUUGCAGCAUAUGUUCUCCAUAUAAUUUGAUAUGCAAGGUUUUGUUGCUAAAUACUACACCCUUACAAUGCAAAGGGAAGCAAGAGCAGCUAGCAGUAGCAGUUAUAACUGAAGUGAUAAUGGGCACUUUUCUUUUCUGAACAACACUUGAUUUUCUCAUAGUAAUAGUCCUUUACUGAAUUUAGUUGAUACAUAAAUGGUUAUUUACUGAACAACACUUAUAUGUGUGUAGGUACGAUGGUGAUGAAGUUUUAAAAUGGUCCAUUGCCCAACAAGGGCAUUCUAAUUUCUGACUGGAUUAUACUGUAACAAUAUGAAACCGAAAUUUCAAAUGGUUCACAUACUAUAGUUCAUUUACAGGAGAUUGUAAACUUUUGGCCACCAUGUGUUGAGAAAUUGUGCAUUGAGAUAAAAGAUUAUAUAAUUUAUGCAAAGGCGUGUGAUAUAUAUUUGUUUCAACAAGUAUGUUGAUUCAUGGAGAAUGAUAUUAUAAAUUAUUAGUAUGAUUGAUGAACUAGGUGUUGUCACUGCUUGAAAUUUCAUUUUUUUGAGAAAUCUAUCCACAUCUGGUCUUGUUUCAAAUCAUGUGUUUUUGUCCAAACGUGCGUUGCACGUGCAAGCUUAUUAGUGUUUGUAUAAGCAUUUGUAAAUAGCUAGCCUUUUUGGCUAAUUUUUUUUUGUUCCGGUCAGCAAGUAUGCCGACGGCAAUGCCGUAGGCAUAGAUGGCUGUUGUGAUACCAGGAGCUGCCACGUGGCAUGUAUGCCUACGGCAAAGCCGUCGGCAUAGUUUUGCAUCUAUGCCUACGGCUUUGCUGUAGGCAUAGUCCACGACCAGGAGCAAUCAGGAGCUGCCACGUGGAAGGCUAUGCCGACGGCAAAGCCGUAGGCAUAGAUUUGCCACGUGGCAACUCCUGGUUGGUCGGACUUCGCAAUGGCGCCGUGAGUUGCCGUCUCGUCCAUUUUUUUGCCGACGGUGAAACUAUGCCGACGGCUGGACGGAAGCCGUAGGCAUAGGCUGCUAUGCCGACGGCUUUAGUACACCGACGGUCUGACAAGACUACGCUGACGUGAUCUACGCCGGCGGACCUAUGCCGACGGCAGCCGUAGGCAUAGACCUAUGCCGACGGCAAAGGACCUAUGCCGACGGCCCUGGGCCAUAGGCAUAGACCGCGAGUCCGGUAGUGAAUAUGCUCCAAAAGGAGGUUGAUCUCCAAAACAGACACAUACUUUCUUGAGCAUCACACAUCUUUGGCUCACAUAGCUAGAAGAAAAUCCUCUUCUACUAAACAUCGCCUAAAUCUCUCAACUUCUCUCCUUUAAUCUCCCUGAUUCAUCUCCAUAGCAUGACAGCCACCGGUAGACUAGAGGGAACUAUUAAUGCAGCGAGUAUCAGAGUAUGAAACAAGCGAUUGUAGACCAUCAACCAUCAUAACAGUAACAAGAAAUGAUAAACAUCCAGAUCAGCAAAGCGCUGGGUGACUAGUUAGGAGUUCUUUAUUGGUUUACUAGUAGUUUCUAACCAUGACUGUCGUACUUCCUUUUUAGCUGGAAUUUAAUUUGGCCGUUCCUCAUUUAAUUAUUCCUUUUAGCACAGUGAACUUUGUUGACAAAAAAAGGGUUCAAAUUCCACAUAGUUUGGGGCAUCCAUCAGUUGACUAGUUAGAACAUGAGCUGCUCAUGCAGUCUGAUUCGAUCGGCAAGAUAUGGGUGGACUACUCAACAGUUAACCACAUAUAUAUUAUGGACAAAUACCAUGUGUAAAAUUAAGGGUUUCUGGAUAUUUGGAUGGACUGCUCAACCCUCGAGGGGUGGCGUUGCAUAUAUUUAUAAUAUGACCACAUGUACUAGAUGUUAAACACAUGAUUGUGUCCCGUAUGUGUCACGUACAGAAGACGUACAGGAAGUUGAGUACUUCUCCAGGAUAGCUAGGCGCAUGAGAUAUUCUGUUGUAACUACUAGCUAGCUUAUCCUCUUAUCUCUCUUAUCUUUCUUUUUCAUCAAGUUGUAUCUCAACCAACUCUUGUACGCGUAUCUCAGGCUCGCACCCUGCCUAUUUAACAUGCAGCACGUCGCCCUAGAUCGUGUAAGACGUUUCCGCCAAUGCACACUAGAAGCUAUAAAUACAAAGUCUACCAGGAACACAGUCCAAAUUUGCCAUAUGGCCAAACCAAAUUUUGCAUUGCCAAAUUUCAGGGAGAGGCGGAUGACCCUUUUGGCAAGUACUGAAAAGUACAGAUUACUGGAAUAGCGAAAUUGGUGAUCGCAAAGUGGAUUUCCAAGCAUGCAUGGCUACUUAAACCCCAAUAAAAAACAGAAUAGUUCGACCUUCGUUGAAAUAAAAAGAGGUUCACAUUAUGUAAACUGUAGUUACGAAAUCAUAACCGUAAAAAGGGACAUCAGAACUAUAACUACAAGAAAGUGUUGUUGAGUAAACCGUGAUGAACUGAAUUAAUUGUUGAUGCAGUCGAAUCCAAACUAGUUCGAUAUCGGAGGUAAAAGCCACAUGGGAGGACGGAUGUCACCCAUCAUGUAGUAACCUGUUGACAUGAUGCCUUCCACACCAUCACCGACACUUUCGAUUUGCUCGUAAUAUACACUGUCAUCAUUGUUGGAUGUCGUCAAGAACACAUUGGCACUGUUAGGGAUCUCAUUGUCUCUCCGUAAGAAACUAUGGUGGGACAAGUAAAUAUGGUUCCUCUGCACGUCGCCUGUCCCGCUUGCUGGUACGCACACUUCUUUGGAGCAUGUUAGUCCCAAGAAUAGCGCGUAGUCUCCUAAGCUAUUCACCUCCACCCACUUCAGUUAGUUCAACAAUUCCUUGCCCACCUCUCUCUUGUUCACACAGCCGCCCUGACCAUAGUUGCUCCCAGGGCUCUUCUACAUCUCGCCACCCUAGCCUAAGAGCAUUUAAAAAAUGUUGUUUGGGUUAAGAAAAUGUAAUGAUAUGGCGAAAAUGAUCCAAUGAUUGUAAGUAGUGCCAGUCAUUGUUAUAAGAUAAUUAUUCCACUUCUAUAUACCGGCGUGGUUGGGGGUGGCCAGAGGUGUGUGCGUGAGGCCGGCAUUGUUCGGAGUCGGCUCUGACGUGCGCGGCGGUGGGAAUCUCGCAGGCGGCAGCCAACUAUGAAUCCUGGUAGCGUAAUCUCCGACUCGAUCUGUUUCGGUUCAUGCUCGUUCCAAUACCUAUCCGGUGCUGGCUAGACGGAUCUGGCGGGGCGGGGCGGGGCCGGGCGGUGUGGUGCGGCCGGGCGACAGCGGCUCGGGACGGGGGCAGGGCGGUGUGGAGCGACNNNNNNNNNNNNNNNNNNNNNNNNNNNNNNNNNNNNNNNNNNNNNNNNNNNNNNNNNNNNNNNNNNNNNNNNNNNNNNNNNNNNNNNNNNNNNNNNNNNNNNNNNNNNNNNNNNNNNNNNNNNNNNNNNNNNNNNNNNNNNNNNNNNNNNNNNNNNNNNNNNNNNNNNNNNNNNNNNNNNNNNNNNNNNNNNNNNNNNNNNNNNNNNNNNNNNNNNNNNNNNNNNNNNNNNNNNNNNNNNNNNNNNNNNNNNNNNNNNNNNNNNNNNNNNNNNNNNNNNNNNNNNNNNNNNNNNNNNNNNNNNNNNNNNNNNNNNNNNNNNNNNNNNNNNNNNNNNNNNNNNNNNNNNNNNNNNNNNNNNNNNNNNNNNNNNNNNNNNNNNNNNNNNAGGCACGGGGGCGGGGCGGGGCGGUGCGGGGUGGCCGGCGACGGGGGUGGUGCGGGGCGGCCGGCGAAGGGGGUGGCGGCGCUGGUUAGGGACGGCGGCAGGGGUGAGGGGUGGCGGCGGCUCGGGCACUACUAGGAAAAGGGCUAUAGAUAAUAUUGACAUUAAUGAUGCACCAGCCCUGUGGUGCGCCACUACUAUAUAGCAGUGGCGCACCAUGUGUUGGUGCGCCAUUAGUGUGAUGGACAGUAAUGGCGCACCGCACCUAUGGUGCGCCACUACUACCAAACUUUUUUUUCCAAAAAUACUAAUGGCGCACCAGUGCAUAGUGCGUCAUUACUAGUUUUAACUAGUAAUGGCGCACCACUCACCCCGUGCGCCACUACUAACAUUUUUUUGCAAAACUACUAAUGGCGCACCACCAGAUGGUGCGCCAUUAGUAACCAGGGUUACUAAUGGCGCAUUUUUUGGUAGUGCGCCAUUAGUAACCUGAGACCAGCUAGAUAUUUUGGACAGCCACCUACCACACUCACUUUCCCCACUUCAUUCUCUCCACCUCCUCGUCCAAGCUUGUCUCGGCUGCCUCCUCCUCCUCACCUCAUUUGCACCAUAGAUUCAUCCAAAUUAAGUGGUUAAAUUACCUUUUUUGAUAGGUAAGUAAGGGGAAAGCUUUCUUUAUGUUGUAGAUCUACUUUUUUCUCCCUCCAACAAUGUGCACAUGCACUUUUUAUGGCCUAGCUAGAUCUAUGUAUGUUUGUGGUGUUGCAUAUGGUUGUGGUGUUGCAUAUAUAUUUGUGUUUGUAGGUACCAGUAUUUGAAAUGUGAUAGUUGCCAAUAUUUUGCCGGAAUGUUGAUUCAUUUCCGUUUCGGCGAGAAUUUGGCACUAUGCAUUCUUCUUGGUCCUAUUUUUAGGCAAAGUCAUGCCAAAGUCAUGACAUAUGAUUCAUUUCCGUUCCAACUUUUUUCUUCGAAGAAACUUGGCAAAGGAAGCAUAUGUCAAGAGCCAUACAGUAGGCUCACGGCAACAACAUGCCACGCAGCAAGUUCGUCAGUGGUUGACGGCUCUGUUACGGUGGGUAGCCUUUGCCAAGAGCCCGCACUUUUCUGCUCGGCAAAGAGUCGAUUCAUGCAUAAUUCAAGCAAAGUGAUCUUAUUUUUCUUGUGCCAUUAAUUAAAAGUAGCAUGCUCUUAUUUGUUUCUCAUAUUCAAACAUGUUUGCAAAGUGGUGAAUCUUAAUUAUGAGUUAGUCGUCUCAUAGGAGUGAUAGCUUGCUUUCAUGGAGUUUCUUCAUACGUACAGCUAUAGCGGUUUGAGCAGGGUACCGCUAAAUGACAGGCUAUAGAUUCAUGUAAAGUUGUCAGAAAAAAAGUCUGAAAUAGCUGGCUAUAGCUGAUUUGGAGGACCCCCGCUAUUUGACGUAGCCUGCUAUUUAAAACAAUGCUCUAGGUUGGAGAGUAAAAGAAGUAGAUUGUUCAGGUUCUAGGCUACCGGGGGGUGAAUAUACCUCGGCAGCAAUGCCAGAUCUGGCCGUUUAACAUCACGAAAAAUCAUACAAUGCCGAAAAUCCUCAGACCUGGCACGGUGUCGUCACAUGGAACCUGGCAUGGUGUCAUCACAUGUCCUGCGAUGGCAGGAGCAUCAAGACCAGCGUCACAUUGAUUUCAGCUGUAGGAAGAAGGAGGAAUGGGGAAGCGAGGAGGAUGAGAAGAGAACUGAGAGACCUAUGGAUAGGGCACCAUACAGUUAUUGUCAUUUUUUCCUCUGCUGUUGGCCAAUAUGUGUGUGUGCAUGUCAGACAGAGAGAGAGAGAGAGAGAGGUGGCUCUGUGAAGGAACACGCGAAGGGGCCAGACCAAAAGAUAUCUCCCUAAGAGAGGUACAAAGAGGUAGAGGUAGCUUCAGUUAUGGACGAGACCCCACCACCUGACCCAUCGCAGUUGCAAGGCGCAUACAAGAAUUGUACCAACCAUGGUGCCUAGAAUUACACAUGUCGGCUGCUCCUAAAUCCCUUAAAUCCUCAGGAACCCUAGAAAACAUGAGAGAUUUCAAACCCUGCAGACUCCCCAAUCUUCAAUUAUAGUACACAUGCAUGUUACUAGAAUUAUUUAUUGUAGUAAUAAUCGUACAUCUAUGGGCCUAUUACAGGCAUGGCACCAAACCUUCCCUCCAAUCGGUGGGCCCCUCCUUCCCUCUAUUUCUAGUCACAAUUUGCUAACAGGCUAAUCACGUAAAAAGUACAUAAUUCUUUCGUAGAUGUAGCAUUGCUCUUACUGUAGCAACUCGUAGCAUUGUAGUUUCUGCAGCAGAAUACUAUGGCAACACUGCAGCGUACUACAGUGAAACGGUGCAGCACACCUCUACAACCCCGUCUUGAAAGGGUCCGGAUGCGCGAGCUGCCACAUUGCCAACACCAGGAAACUAUUGCAUAUGCUUGUUCCUCCCUCGGUGUCAGUAGAAUGGGUAAUCAGGGAUUGAGACCAUCAUAUACCAUGAAUUCAUGAACUCUUUCCUAUUGUUUUUACGUUUUUUUGCAUAUAUAUACCCAACUAGGUCACCUAUGUGAUCAUUUGGAUAGUUUUUGCCUUGGUCAAACCCUUCGUUUGUCUACCUUCUAUUACUAAUCCGCCCUUAUGUCAAUGACCCUUCAUCUUACGUACCUUCAACGGCCCUUGUUUGCUAGAGAAAUCAGAAUAGUUGAGAAUAAAAUGGCAAAUGGGCACGUGACGCGUGGGAGUACGAGGAAGAGUUCUAGCCAAAUCUCACAAAAAUAAAGGAAAAAUAGAGGGAAGAAAGAAACAAACAAAAAAUAGAAAAAGAAAAAGGAAAGGAAAAAAAAUUCGAUCGAGCGUUCCUUCUCUGGGACUCCUCGCGAGAGAAGGGAAGGUUUAGCCCUCCGCUCCAAUUACCAAAUACCAAUUUCCCUUCCUAAUAUAACUCGAUUGGAUUCCCCACCCCGCCGCACAUCGUUCGUUCUGCCUGCAGAUGCUCACGACCACCUCCACCAUGGCUUCUCCUAUUUUUCCGCCCGUCACCUACUUUCGUAAGUCGCCUCAACUAUCUCCUCUACCCCCACGCCCCGCGUCUCUCUCUCCAACGCUGUGCCGGAGCAAAGCUGGAAUCGUUAGGGCAAGCAAUGAAACCUACUGUAGAUCCGAGCCUUUGCCUCGUUGUACAUGCGGAUUCGGUUGUGAGGCGGACCGGCGAGGCGAUUUCUAAAGUUGGAUUAUUCCGAUGCUUUUGCUAGCUAGAGCCGGCAGAUCUUUGUUUAUUCACCUACCUUUCUAAGGUUGGAUUUAUUAUAUCAAAGUCCCAGAUCCACAGCUUACUUACUUACGUUUGCUUGAUUUAUGUUUUGCUUCAUUCAUUUACCAGCAAUAAACAAAAAGAAGAUUUCUGGGGCAUGCAAGCUGCUAUUCGAGACACCAUCCGGAUUCGCAAUUUUCUCUUUUGAUUUGCACUUCCUCCACAAAACUAUUGAGGUGACCACUACGUGAUUUCUUGUUUCUUCUCUGUUGUUGACGAUGCCAUUGCCAAGCACCAUCCGACGGAUUAACCUCUUUUUGUUUCCCUGCAGGACACCUGGACCUACUUCGUGGGCGACUAUUGGCACAACUGUGUUAGUCAUCACACCAUUUUAAUUUCCUCUUCUUUUCACUUCAAACUAGAGUGAAAGCAUUAAGAAACUCAGCCUAUAAGCGGAACCUUGCUAGGGCAGCUAAACCAACUCAUAACACUAAAUCUAUGUAUGUACAGUAUUAUUUAGGUGUGCAGACAUGAUACUAUCACGCAUGAACGUGUGCACACCCCAAAACUAAGUUUCGAGCACUCACACACGAUACACUAUUGCUAAGGAUGCCACCAUGUCUUUUUUUCUUCUUCCCUUCUUUCACAUACCAAUCAGUAAGCACUGCAUUAACGCGUGAGUAGGUUAAACCAAGAUUCGAGCAGGGCUAUAUUUGUGGCUGACACAAUCCUGUCUCAUGGAGACACAUUGCAUAAUUACAAGUACUCCCUCCGUAAAGAAAUAUAUGAGCGUUUAGAUUACAAAAGUGGUGAUCUAAACGCCCUUAUAUUUCUUUACAGAGGGAGUAUUUUACAAGCUUUAUGUUUUUCUCUCUAAUCACGCUUUGCCCUUGUUCCUCAGUUCCUCGCGAUACAUGCUUUCCGUAGGUUCGAGGAUAAGUCUGAUGCCAUCAACCUCACCACCAGAUGAGUAGGCGGCCGAAUGAUCGGACUGAUCUGCGAGUACUGCCUCCCUGAAGAACUAAUCAUUGUUGGAAGUCCCGAAUAUAAAUCAAUAAUCGAAGAGAACCUGGUUUGUCUAACUGUGUAAACUCCCUAGUUGUUCAUGCAUGCGCAACAGCACGAUGUAACCCAUUCCUUUUUUCAGAGGCGAGCAUGUGUGUGCAAUGACAGAGUGAGGGAGAUUAUGUGGGGUAUGCAAAAUCUCAUGCCUCUUUUAAUCCCUCAAGAACAAUCUGUGUUCACAAAGGCGGACCGGCUCCCCAUAUGCAAAGGAUUGGAUAUGCUCUUAUCUCGACACGGCAUUAAUAUUGUCAAGCAAGAGUGGGUGAGCUUACUAAGCUUUGUCCUUCUCUUGUCUGAUAGUAUGCAAUGUUUUCUGCUUUAUUGCUAUCUUGUCAUGUAAUGUUCCUUUCUGAUCCAUCGUGCCCCCAUAACACCUUAUUGCCACGUUACCAGUGAUGAAAGGCAUUCAUAGGAACUCAAUCUGUUCAAGUCUUCUUAUAGAAAAUUUUGCCUUUUCAUGUUCCUUUCAGUGAUUAAGCAAAUGCUCAUUUGUAUCCAGAUUAAUGAAGAUAUUCUACAGCUGGCUCUCAAGGUGUAUCAUGCUGAUCUACGUGAAAACGAACAUUCAAAGUUCUUGCGCAGAAGUCUUGGUCUUGAUAAGCAUCUGAAGGCCAUUUCUGGAUUUGACACAAAGGAUUGGGAUUUAGUCAAACUUGCAACAGCGUUGAAGACAAUGGUCGAUCCCGAUGCUAAUCUUCUUCCAAUUGUCAAAACUUUCAAGGUGAAUCUUACUUUUUUUUUCUGCAAAAUUUUAGUAUGCAUAUGCUGGAAAGUUUUCAUUUUGGCUAAAGACUGAAGUAUAUGUUUGUUUACAGAUGUUCUCGCCUGAGGAGGCUAACUUGAUCGAGCUUGAUGCACCUAAAUAUGAAGAUCUGUUAGACAGGGACAUAGUCUCAGAAAUCUAUGAAGACAUUGUUGCUGUCCGUGAAUACGUGGACAAAGUGUUGUUGAAAUUGCGCCACUUGCUUAAGAAGGCUGAAGCAGCACUGGAAACUGAAGAUGUGCAGGAGAAGGGCGACUAAUGGUGUCGACUCCAUACAGCAAGUUGACCGUACAUGUUUAGCAGUGGUUCCGGUGGAAGUACCCAACCAAAGUAGCAUUGCUUAGGAGCAACAACGUCAUAUCACAUGUGAGAAUUCUCAGAUCUUGGUCGUGUGAUCUUUGUGAAGCAGCGUAGUUUUUACUGUCGUAUAUGUUGUAUUUGUUUUAAUGUUCCCAGUUCAUUGUUGAAGAUCAACAUGGUACUCUUUAGUGUACUCUAGUGGCAAGGGCGCACCAGUGGUCUUGUGCUCACCAAUCUAGCUAAUACAUUUGUCAACGUGUGUAUGCAGCCCAGAAAAAAACGCCAGUUGUUUAAAAAAAGCUUAACAGAAGUGCAGCAGCAAAGUGUUCAGUCGUCAAGCAUAUAAGCUAAUCUAUCUAUAUUAACUGAGAGGUGACAUCUUACAAGGUUGAUGCCAGAGCACAGCAUCGAUUGAAAUCCAGUCUAAUCACUACCGGAAUAACCUUAUAUGCCUAUGGCCUUAUCUAUGCCUACGGCUGCCGUAGGCAAAGAUGGAGCUAUGCCGACGGCCUAGGGAAAAACGUCGACAUAGAAAAGCCNNNNNNNNNNNNNNNNNNNNNNNNNNNNNNNNNNNNNNNNNNNNNNNNNNNNNNNNNNNNNNNNNNNNNNNNNNNNNNNNNNNNNNNNNNNNNNNNNNNNNNNNNNNNNNNNNNNNNNNNNNNNNNNNNNNNNNNNNNNNNNNNNNNNNNNNNNNNNNNNNNNNNNNNNNNNNNNNNNNNNNNNNNNNNNNNNNNNNNNNNNNNNNNNNNNNNNNNNNNNNNNNNNNNNNNNNNNNNNNNNNNNNNNNNNNNNNNNNNNNNNNNNNNNNNNNNAAAGCCGUCGGCAUAGCUCCAUCUAUGCCUACGGCAGCCGUAGGCAUAGUAAGGCCGUCGGCAUACAUCGAUCUAUGCCUACAGCAGCCAUAGGCAUAGUUAGGCCGUCGGCAUAGAUGUGGCUCUGGUGGCCCGGGACAGAUGGCGGGCCGACGCCGUCAAAUCUAUGCCGACGGCCCUGACAGCGGCCGUCGGCAUAGAUAUCAUCUGUUUUUCUACUAGCAGCUGCCACGUGGUAUAGCUAUGCCGACGGCAAAGAUGUAGGCAUAGUUUUCCAUCUAUGCCUACGGGGCAUAGCCCCGCCACGUGGCGCCUUCUGGUAGCUCCUGGCCGAGAACUAUGCCUACGGCCAUAGAUAUCAUCUGUUUUUUAUUUUAAAUUAUUUUUAUUUUUGAAAGUUAAAAUUUGAUUAAUUUAAAUUUAACUUAUCUAAACUUAAACAUACACAAAUUAUACAUCGAUUUGGGGUAGAAUUUUCCGUAGAUUGUGAAUAUCCAGUUUUUUUUUGUUUUUGAGUAUGUUAGAAAUGUGACCUCAUGUACUUUUGCAUAUAGGUCCUUAUACUUUGUUAAAAUCAUAAGUAAUUGACACGUCGAUCGAUUUUGACAAAUUUUAUAUGGUUUUUAUCAAAAUCUUGAAAGGAUAUGUUGCUAUACUAUGUUUCAAAUUUGAACAAACCAAAAUCAUGUUUGCUUCAGAUUUACAAAAAAUACCCUUUUAUUUUGACUUAUUUGUUUAUUUUUCAUUCCUUGGCCAAAGAGACAAAAUCUAUAUCUACAUCCAUAACAUUCUUUCUAGGAUUAUGAUGGAAGGUGUAAACACCGAGCACGUGGCUCCAGAGUGUGACCCGCUUCACGGACGGUGCUGCUGCUAGCACUUGGAGGGUGGAAAUGACCAUGUCGAGUCGAACAGGAGGGAAUCUUGUGGUGGGUUGGGCACAAACCUUGGUGUGAAAUGUUUCUAUGGGCUGGCCUAUCACAACCAGGUGGAAAAGUCCGUCGGGCAAAGGCCGUCCGGUGAAAGUCAAAGGCCUGGAUCUUAGGGUCAACGGGUAAGGGUUAGGCCGGUCGGGGGCCUUCAGGGGUAGUAAUGCCACUAAAACUUGCAUUGUGUCUUAAUAUAUGUAUACAGUGUGAUGGAGGGUUGAAAUAGCCAACAGAGCAACAUGCAGCACACUUCCUUCACAAAACCGGACAUGUUCUCUCUUGAUAGCUAGAUACUACGUCGGAGAUGUUGCAAUUUACAAGCGGCCUCCGGUCAGGCUCCUACAAAAUUCGCCCAAACUUUUACCACGACCUACAAGGGCCAUAUGACGACACCGUGCCAAGUCCCGAGAAUUUCCAUCAUCGUAUGAUUUUCCGUGGAGUUUAACGGCUAGGUCCGGCAUGCCGCUGAGGUAUAUUCGCCCUCCGGUGGCGGGGGAUGCCCCUCCUUUGGUUGCACUAGGCCUACACAUACUGCAAACACAUCAUAUAUGAUUUAAUAAAACACUUCUAGACAUCAUUUCAGGUGAUCACCAUGAAGAUCUACAACUUGCCGCAUUGAAAUCCUACGGAUGCAAUAAAUGUCUCAAAUAUUACAGGCAACCCAGAAAAAUGUCAUGUCCGGGCACGUGUCAUGCAAUGGCCCCAUUUGAGAGCACACGAAGUUUCGAGGUCAACGGAGCAACGAGCAACACUUCCUUCACAAACCGGAGCAGUUCUCUCUCGAUAGCCGCAUACUACCUCGGAGAUGGUGUAGUUUACAAGCGGCCUUCGGUCAGGCUUCUGCGAAACGAGCUCAAACUUUUAACACACUCUACAAGGUCCAUACGAUGAAACCGUGCCAGGUUCCGAGGAUUUUCGGCAUCGUAUGAUUUUUUGUGGAUUUUAAUGGCUAGAUCCGACAUGCCGUUGAGGUACAUUCACCCUCCGGUGGCGGGGCUUGUCCCUCCUGUGGUUGCACCAGACCUACACAUACCGCAAAGACAUCAGAUAUGAUUUGACAAACCACUUCUGGGUAUCAUUUCAGGUGGUCUCCAUGCAGAUCUAUAACUUCCCGUAUUAAAACCCUACAGAUGCAAUAAAUGUCUCAAAUAUUGUAGGGCCCCAGAAAAAUGCCAUGUUCUGGCAUGUGUCAUGCAAUGGUUCCCUUUGAGAGCAUGAGAAGUUUCAAGGUCAACGGAGCAACGGGCAACACACUUCCUUCACAAACCGGACAAGUUCACUCUCGAUAGCUGCAUACUACCUCAAAGAUGGUGUAGUUUACAAGCGGCCUUCGAUCAGGCUUCUGCGAAAACGAGCUCAAACUUUUACCACACUCUACAAGGGCCAUACGACGACACCGUGCCAGGUCCUGAGGAUUUCCGGCAUCGUAUGAUUUUUCAUGGAUUUUAAUGGCUAGAUCCGGCAUGCCGUUGAGGUACAUUCACCCUCUGGUGGUGGGGCUUGUCCCUCCUGUGGUUGCACUAGACCUACACAUACCGCAAAGACAUCAUAUAUGAUUUGACAAACCACUUCUGGGUAUCAUUUUAGGUGGUCUCCAUGUAGAUCUGUAACUUCCCGCAUUGAAACCCUACAGAUGCAAUAAAUGUCUCAAAUAUUGCAGGCGGCCUAGAAAAAUGCCAUGUUCUGGCACGUGUCAUGCAAUGGUCCCCUUUGAGAGCACGAGAAGUUUCGAGGUCAAUUAAGCAAUGAGCAACACACUUCCUUCACAAACCGGACAAUUUCUCUCUCGAUAGCCACAUACUACCUUGGGGAUGGUGUAGUUUACAAGGGGCCUCCGGUCAAGCUUCUGCGAAACGCGCUCGAACUUUUACCACACCCUACAAGGGCCAUAUGACGACACCGCGCUAGGUCCCGAGGAUUUCUGGCAUCGUAUGAUUUUCUGUGGAUUUCAAUGGCUAGAUCCGGCAUGCCGCCGUUGUACAUUCGCCCUCCGGUGGUGGGGCAUGUCCCUCCUUUGGUUGCACUACACCUACACAUGUCGUAAAGACAUCAUAUUUGAUUUGACAAACCACUUCUGGACAUCAUUUUAGGUUACAAGCGACCUCUGGUUAGGCUUCUCCGAAACGCGCUGAAACUUUACCACGCCCUACCGUGGUCGGCUCAGCCCGGUUGGAAAGCAUGGGAAGGAGCGAGCCAUUUAGGCCGAUGCCCUUCUCCAAAGUUGUUAAGUGUUUACCCGGAAUAAGAGGAGAAAAUACAAUUGCAAGAGCUUAAUUCUCAUUGGUGGAACCAACUAUGCCAUGGAUUAAUGACAUGGCUCACAUACACCCAUCCAUCUCUCCACCCCACAUACAUCCAUCUAAAGAAAAGGAGGAGGAAAAGAAAAAAACAAGACAUAAAUGCACCGCACACCUCUCCCUCUCGCUCGUCUCUCCCUCCCCCCACCCCACCCAUGAAACCUCAUCGCCGCCACCUGCGCCGCUCGAUUCCGGCUUGUACCGGCGGCCCUCGCCGGCGCGCAGCACAGAUCCGAGCUCCCUUGCCGCUGCUCUUCCCUUCCCUCUAGCCAGAUCCGCCUCUCGCGUCCCUGAGAGCUCACCCACGACCCCUCCCCAUUGCUAGCGUUUCGAGGGUGGCGUCCCCUCCAACUCUGGUGUGUCGCUGGCAACUCUGCUCCGCCCUCUCUGACGCCCACCGCAAGUCCCACGGGCAGCUCCCCCUCGUGGUCGGCUCUCCUGCACCCGGUGGCUGCGGGGCGGACGCACGCGGCGGGUAAACUCCGGCGAGAUGGCGGCUCCAUCCACGGCAUGACGGAGGCUCCAUCCACGGCGUGAUGGCGGUGCACUACAUCGGCUAAAGCACUCCCAUGGUGAGACCCUCUGCACUCCUCUGUUCCCCCCUUUUCCUUGUAUAAUGAUGCUUCACAUUGCUUGAUAUGAUUUUGGUCAAUCUUCACUUCUGCCUAGCUAGCUGCUGGAGUUCUUCCAGUUGUGAAAAUUUUGAUAAAGAAAGUGUGUUCGGUUUAUGUAUGCUAUAACAAAUUACGUACGUGUAUGCUAGCUAAAAGAAGCAACCAAGCUAGUAGCUUAAUUGAUCUACAAAAACUAGCUAUAUGUGCGUCCCUAACAAUGUGUUCAUCAGGCCGCUCUCUUGUAUUGUUUGAGUGCGCCAGUUAGUUCGGCCAGCCUCUAUGAUUUAUUGUGAUAGCUUCUGGAGUGCUUGUAUCUAUAUUUGUGAAAAAAUCAACCCAACAAAAAAAUGUUAAUCAGUCCGCUCUCUCAAAGUUGAGUUUGGGCUGCUGCAUAUGAAUGAUUUUUUUUCUUAGUUUGGGUGCUAGGUACUUGAUGGAGUUGGUGUAUCCAUAGAUAGCAUACACUUGCACAUUUUUUCGAGUUCUUCUGUUGCGAAUGAAAACAACCAUCAUGGAUCUCCUCUGUUUUCAAGCAGCUUGCUUCUCCAUGUAUGUUUUAUGCAGCAUAUACAUCUUGCUCCUCUUUUAUUAAGUAGCAAUGGAAGUUGAUGAAAUUUAAGUGUCGUGUUGUUCUAGAGAUGCAUAGAGGGGGGGGGACGCCCAUGGAUUGGACUGCAAGGAUUGGAUGCAAACCAAUGCACAUGAGGAGGAGAGAUGCAAGCCACGCCAUGACCUAAAGGUCCAUGCCGUGAACCCCUUCCCCUUCCCGUGUAUAAUCAUGCUCAACAAAUACUUGAUAUGAUUUUGGUUGAUCUUCAAUUCAGCCUAGCUAGCUGUUGUAGUACUUGCUUGUCUCUUUCCAAAUGUUGCCCCAGUCCGUUGAGUUUCUUAUUGCUCCAGGUAGUACUGCUAUUUUUCUUCUCUGCGAUUUGGUGUGCAUGGUUCCAGACUCCCAGUCUACCGCUUUUGUUGCUGUGAUGUCGAGCUCUGUUUUCUUUAUUGUGACAAGUGCAAAAUUAGUAGUGGGAAGUAAACUUUUGUUAACUACUUAACUUGUGCGUAUGACACUAGAGAAUUUUUUGUUGCAUAUAUGCAUCCGUGUCAGAUUUCCCACAUCUACAUGAGAAGAAACCACGCUUCUAUAUAGGAGAAGUUGCGCAAGAUUUGAAGCGUGGUUUAAAUUAGUAGGUUUGGUCUCCGGAUAGAUAUUGGUACUUUUACGAUAACCAUGUUAUCUCAAGGAUUGUGCUUGACUAUCAAUUUUCGAUGUCAUUCCUGGCAGAUUUCUUAACUCAAUGUCAGUGCAUCAAAGAUGGUUAGGAGGUUGAAGAUAUGUCGUGUGAAAGGCACGAGGAGGCAAGGACGGGACACGCAGGACGCUGGAGUGGAGGACGAACACCGCAGCAAGGUAUGUCCAGAGAACAACCACGGUCGCCAAGUCACGAAUCCUCUCUUGCAUGUCCACUUCUCCUUGGCUGCCUGGUCAUCAUCAUACCACAAAUCAAAGUUUUCUUGUUGCGAAUUAGAGCAGAUAAAUUUGAUGGCUGUAACUUGCCAUAAUUGCAAGGUCUAAUUCUAUUAUGUGUUGAGUUUAUUGGCACGAUUUGGUCCGUUUUGAUACAAUUUCAUUCUGGUUGCCAUCUACGAGUUACUGUUGUUGCAUCACAAUAAUUUAUUUGGAAGCAAUGAUACUUGAGAUUGAGACUUUCUGGGUAGGUUGUCACAAGUAUUUAACUUAUGAUUUCAAAUUGAGAUACAACCAGCAAUCUGGAAUCAGUACUGUUGCUCAGACAACCUAGAGGGGUUAUAAAAUUUCUUUGCAAAGCUUGUAUAGAAGCUUAAGAAUAUGCCUGCUACUUCUUUUUAGGAAAAUAAAAUGCCUGCUACUUUGGGAUAUUGUGGUGUUACUAAAUGACCGCUUCAUAAAUCAUAAUAUGAGAUGGUGUUUGGUCAACCAAACAUGUAGAAUAUUGGAACAAAAAGACAAAGAAUAUUGGUCAACCAAAGGCAAAUUCACUUCAGCAAAAAUUCACUUGAUGUUGCAAUUUUUUUAUUUGUUAUUUAAGAUUAUUUUUAGAUGGAGAGCUGGGCCAGUUUGGAUGCCAAUGUUGGUUUUUAGAUCAGUCAAUGGUUCAUUGCAGCAUAUGUUCUCCAUAUAAUUUGAUAUGCAAGGUUUUGUUGCUAAAUACUACACCCUUACAAUGCGAAGGGAAGCAAGAGCAGCUAGCAGUAGCAGUUAUAACUGAAGUGAUAAUGGGCACUUUUCUUUUCUGAACAACACUUGAUUUUCUCAUAGUAAUAGUCCUUUACUGAAUUUAGUUGAUACAUAAAUGGUUAUUUACUGAACAACACUUAUAUGUGUGUAGGUACGAUGGUGAUGAAGUUUUAAAAUGGUCCAUUGCCCAACAAGGGCAUUCUAAUUUCUGACUGGAUUAUACUGUAACAAUAUGACACCGAAAUUUCAAAUGGUUCACAUACUAUAGUUCAUUUACAGGAGAUUGUAAACG
RNAcentral lists this long non-coding RNA (17033 nucleotides) under Triticum aestivum (bread wheat). RNAcentral describes it as "long non-coding RNA (TAES_LNC014170)". Lineage: Eukaryota; Viridiplantae; Streptophyta; Magnoliopsida; Poales; Poaceae. The record is from RNAcentral.